Molecule: long non-coding RNA, 1343 nt
Organism: Poecilia latipinna (sailfin molly)
Lineage: Eukaryota; Metazoa; Chordata; Actinopteri; Cyprinodontiformes; Poeciliidae
Exons: 4
Source: RefSeq, a predicted model, not a curated record
UGGAGAGCAACGAGGGGCUGUUUGCUGGUAACUAUAUGGAAACCCAUUACCUGGAAGACGGCAGUGCAGUCACAGGCCCUCCCAACUUCACGGCAAACUGCUACUACCAUGGAAAGGUGGAGGGCCACAUGGAGUCAGAUGUCAGUCUCAGUACUUGUGCUGGGAUUAGGUAAGUUUCUCUUUUAAUAUUAUCGUAGUCAGUGUUGCUUCAGCCACGCCGUACCCCCACAUUAAGUUACAUGCAGUUGUACAUUAAAGUUUACAACUUCAAACUGUAAUGUGGUUUAUUGGUACUUUAUGUGAAAGACCGACACAGUGCAGAACUGUGAAGCUGAUGGAAAAACACAGUAUGAUGUUCAAUAUUUGAAAAGCCUGCGGCAUUGUAUUUAUUGUGUAUGUUUUUAACCCUGUAUAUUCUGAUUCACUUCAAUGAAACACCAAUAUCUAUGACUUCCACUGAAAUUCAAAACUGUUGAAGGUUACUCAUCGCAUUGCAUGCCUAUCAACGUCUUCAGAUUAACCUUCAACAUAUCAUAAGCCCUCAGACAUUUUUCUGCCUUUGUAUUCAAACAUAUUCUUAAAAACACUUCUGAAAGAAACUUGUAUUUGCUUUAUGUUAAAAAAAAAAAAGUGUUGACACAUUUUACGUUUUUACUUGAAAGUGUUCCAGUAUUUGACCCCUGCCUGGAUCAAGAAAUGUUGUCUCGAUAGGACCUUCCUGUUAUUUUAUAGAUCCUUGUUCUUUCAGUAGCUGACGCUACUUACAUGCAUAGUUCUGCAAUAUUUCAUGUGCUCUACUUAGACUUUUAGUGACAGUUGCCGCUUUUAACCACACAAAUAAGGUGUUUUACAUCCAAAUUGCCGCAGAUAAUCUUUCGCAAUAAACUCUGGAGAUGAGAGUGUUUAUGUAGUUGCAAAAAUGACUGCGAGGUUCAAAACAUGUGAAACGUUUCAGGUUUGGAAACUCUUUGUUUGCAGAUGUCAAACUGCUGAAGUGAUUGCUGCGAUAUUGUUGGAAAGCAUCCGGAAGGUUUUCAUAAAUCAGCCAAAAGGUUCAAACCCUCUGCAGAGUGAUUUAGCAGAGUUCAGAUGAAUUGCUGUUGACCUAAUAUUCAUUUAUUUUAGUUUCUGUGAAACCCGCUCAGUGACGGACCAACAAAACGCUUCUCGAGACAAAACUACACAUAACUUGUCCCGCUCGUAGACACAAAUGGGUUCCUAGUUUCGCGUUGGUAGCUGUUAGACUUCUGGGAGGGUAUAAGUUCAUUUGGUUCUUAAAUAUUGUGCAAGGUUCAAAUUACUUUAAAUUGUAAAAACUAUGUGAGGAGAAAUACUUAAAAGAA